This 482-nucleotide ribosomal RNA is filed under the name uncultured bacterium. RNAcentral describes it as "bacterial SSU rRNA". It matches the Rfam family "Bacterial small subunit ribosomal RNA", at positions 29 to 507 of the family's 1533-position model. The record is from RNAcentral.
AUUGAACGCUGGCGGCAUGCCUUACACAUGCAAGUCGAACGGUAACGCGGGGCAACCUGGCGACGAGUGGCGAACGGGUGAGUAAUAUAUCGGAACGUGCCCAAUAGUGGGGGAUAGCCCGGCGAAAGCCGGAUUAAUACCGCAUGAGACCUGAGGGUGAAAGCGGGGGAUCGCAAGACCUCGCGCUAUUGGAGCGGCCGAUAUCAGAUUAGGUAGUUGGUGGGGUAAAAGCCUACCAAGCCGACGAUCUGUAGCUGGUCUGAGAGGACGACCAGCCACACUGGGACUGAGACACGGCCCAGACUCCUACGGGAGGCAGCAGUGGGGAAUUUUGGACAAUGGGCGCAAGCCUGAUCCAGCCAUGCCGCGUGCGGGAAGAAGGCCUUCGGGUUGUAAACCGCUUUUGUCAGGGAAGAAAUCCUUUGAGUUAAUACCUCGGGGGGAUGACGGUACCUGAAGAAUAAGCACCGGCUAACUACGUG